RNAcentral lists this unclassified non-coding RNA (1904 nucleotides) under Thrips palmi. RNAcentral's name for it is "venom carboxylesterase-6-like, transcript variant X2". Lineage: Eukaryota; Metazoa; Arthropoda; Insecta; Thysanoptera; Thripidae. The record is from RNAcentral.
GUGCUGCACCAACACCAUCGACUCCACCAUGGCGACCGUCCUGCCGGCCGUCGCCGCGCUCGCCCUGGCGGCCCUGGCGGCCCUGGCGGCCCUCCCCGCCGUCGUGGCGCUGCCCCUCGUCCCCGCCAUCUCCUACAACGGCGGCCAGGGCAUCAUCACCGGGGCGCGCCUCCGGAGCGGCGGGCUGCACACGGCGAGGGACUACGCCGCCUUCUGGGGGGUGCCGUACGCCGAGCCGCCCGUCGGCAAGCUCAGGUUCAAGCCCCCGCAGGGCCGGGACCUCCCCGACGGCAUGUUCGCGGCCACCAACGUCAGCACCCCGGAGUGCAUCCAGCAGAGCCGGCACCCGCUCGAGAUCCACGGCGCCGAGGACUGCCUCACGCUGCAGAUCUACACCCCGAACUACGACAACCCCGUGCUGCCCGUACUCGUGCUGAUCCACGGCGGCGGCUUCAUGUUCGGCCGCGGCCCCCGCGAGGGCGUGCAGUUCGUCAUGGACCACGACGUGGUGCUGGUCAACGUGGACUACCGCGUCGGCCUCCUCGGCUACAUGAGCUUCGAGGACGACACACUGCGGGGCAACCUGGGCAUGCUGGACCAGGUGGAGGCCCUGCGCUGGGUGCAGCGCAACAUCCACCUCUUCGGCGGCGACAACAAGAACGUCACCCUGGUCGGCAACUCGGCCGGCUCGGCCAGCUGCCUGCUGCACACCAUGUCCCCGUUGUCCAAAGGGCUGUUCCACAGGGUGAUCGGCAUGAGCGGGACCCCGCUGAACCCCUGGACGCGGCAGUACUCUGCGCGCGAGAACGCCCACAUGGUGGCCAACCUGACGGGCUGCGACGCCCCCACCACGGCCGAGAAGAUCAGCUGCCUGCAGAACCAGUCCGCCACCGACCUGGUGGCGCUGCAGGGGACCCACUUCCAGCACUGGAUGAACAACCCGUUCUCGCCGUUCGCCCCCGUCGUGGACGGCGUGUUCCUGACCGAAGAACCCGGCAAGCUGCUCAACAAGAGGGGCGCCGUCAUGGACGUGCCGCUGCUGCUCAGCUUCACGUCGGAUGAAGGGCUGUACACUGCCGGAGAGUUCAUCAUGAACGACGCCCUGGUGCGCGAACUGGACGAGAACUGGGAGACCGUGGCGCCGCAGCUGCUGCACAUGCACGACAAGCGAGUCCCCGAGGCGGACAAGCCGGACCUGGUCCAGAAGGCCCGCAAGUUCUACCUGGGCAACCAGACCCUGGUGGCGGCCAAGUCCGAGCUCGUCAAGCUGAUGAGCGACCGCAACUUCGUGGCCGGGCUGGCGGACUACGUGACGCGACGCGCCAAGGACCAGUCCAGUGCCGUGUUCGUGUCCGAGUUCGCGCACCGCGGCCAGUUCGGCCUCUACCCCGGCGUCCCGGGGGUGAGCCACGCCGACGACUUCCAGUACUACAUCGAGUUCACGUGGUGGAGCGGCAUCUUCACGCGGCCCGAGGACAUCGCCGUGCGCAAGAACCUCAUCGACAUGUGGGUCGCCUUCGCCGAGACAUCCAACCCCAGCAUCCACGGCAUCGACUGGCGGCCCACGGACGGCAAAGACGGCUCGGUGAACUACCUGCGUAUCGCUGGCCCCGAGGACAAGGACAUGGCCAUGGCCCAGGACAAGGACCUGGGCAACGCCAACUUCUGGAGAGACUUGCGCAUCGAACCGUAAGUUGUCUGGACUGUCUUUGUCUCUGUUUGCUGUCCAAUAGUCCUUUGUAUUGUCCGUGUGCACUGUAAUAUAUGUUUAUAUGUUUAUUUUUAGCGAUCUUUGUGGGCAAUUCGUUCAUCUGCGGUGUCUUUAUUUUUUUGUCAUUGUUUUUGUUGCUCUUGUGCUUAUUUUUCUGUCCUCACGAAUCUCAUUAAAGACAUGCUCAUCUCUA